This 416-nucleotide ribosomal RNA is filed under the name Gerris brasili. RNAcentral describes it as "partial 16S ribosomal RNA". The record is from RNAcentral. Lineage: Eukaryota; Metazoa; Arthropoda; Insecta; Hemiptera; Gerridae.
ACUCUCCGAAAAAAUUACGCUGUUAUCCCUAAGGUAAGUUAAUCUUAUAAUCAAAAGUUCUGGAUCAAAAAAACAUAAAUUUAUGAAUAAAAUAUUAAAAGUUAAAUAAAUUUUAAUGUCACCCCAACAAAACUUUAUAUUCUAAAAAAUUAUUUAAUAAACAAAAAAUAAUAUUUAAUAAAUAAAGUAAACUUCUAUAGGGUCUUCUCGUCCUAUAAAAAAAUUUUAGCUUUUUAACUAAAAAAUUAAAUUCAAAAUAAUUAAAAAAAGAAAGCUUAUUUUUCAUCAAACCAUUCAUACUAGCCUUCAAUUAAAAGACAAAUGAUUAUGCUACCUUCGUACAGUUAAAAUACCGCAGCCUUUUAAUUCAUAAAAAUCAAUGGGCAGGUCUGAUCUUAAAUUAAAAUCAAAAGACC